Molecule: ribosomal RNA, 678 nt
Filed under: Howardula phyllotretae
Lineage: Eukaryota; Metazoa; Nematoda; Chromadorea; Rhabditida; Allantonematidae
Description: eukaryotic LSU rRNA
Rfam family: Eukaryotic large subunit ribosomal RNA
Source: RNAcentral
GCAGGGUGGAAACGGAUAGAGUUGACGUAUUCGGACUCGCAUUCAGCCGAUGUUUGUGGUUGUUGCGAUGGCGGGCGAAUGUCUUCGUGGCGUUUGCUAGUCGUUGUUGACUGACCGUGAGCGUCGGUGCAUUUGUGGGUCGUUGUGCGCUGGAACGUGUGUGUUGGUCGUUGAUGGCUUUGGCACGAGGAUGCUUGUUUCGGCAAGUAAAACCGGGUCUUUGUUUGUCGGCGAUUCGACGUGCGCGUAUGCUUUAUGCGUGCGAGUGUAUUAGAUGGUUGUAUUACGAUGUUGCGUUUUAUGGCGGUCGCAUGCGACACGUGUAUUAUGCGACGUCGACAAUUGUCGAGUCCUCGUGCGUUGUUCCGGUGUAAAAGUCGAUCAUCUAUUCGACCCGUCUUGAAACACGGACCAAGGAGUUUAACGUCUACGCGAGUCAUUGGGUGUUUAAAACCUAAAGGCGUAAUGAAAGUGAAGGUUCUCUUGAUGGUACUAAUAUGCGAUCCGAUAGGCUGCGGCCUAGCCGGAGCAGCGUAGCCCCGUUCUUGUCGCUUGCGAUAGGGCGGAGGAAGAGCGUAUGCGUUGAGACCCGAAAGAUGGUGAACUAUGCUUGAGCAGGACGAAGUCAGAGGAAACUCUGAUGGAAGUCCGAAUCGGUUCUGACGUGCAAAUCGAUCG